RNAcentral lists this ribosomal RNA (393 nucleotides) under uncultured bacterium. RNAcentral's name for it is "partial 16S ribosomal RNA". It matches the Rfam family "Bacterial small subunit ribosomal RNA", at positions 523 to 918 of the family's 1533-position model. The record is from RNAcentral.
AUACGGAGGAUGCGAGCGUUAUCCGGAUUUAUUGGGUUUAAAGGGUGCGUAGGCUGUGCGUUAAGUCAGGGGUGAAAUGCCGUCGCUCAACGACGGAGCUGCCCUUGAUACUGGCGUGCUGGAGUACGGAUGCCGUUGGAGGAAUGAGUGGUGUAGCGGUGAAAUGCUUAGAUAUCACUCAGAACACCGAUUGCGAAGGCAUCUGACGAAUCGGUCACUGACGCUGAGGCACGAAAGCGUGGGGAUAGAACAGGAUUAGAUACCCUGGUAUUCCACGCCGUAAACGAUGAUGACUAACCGUCGGCGAUAGACAGCCGGUGGCCAAGCGAAAGCGAUAAGUCAUCCACCUGGGGAGUACGUCGGCAACGAUGAAACUUAAAGGAAUUGGCGGGG